UGAACAGGACUCUCGAGGGAGCGAAGCCCGCCAUCAAAAGAGAAAAAAAAAAGAAAAAAAGAAAAAAAAAACCAUUGCAAUCUCCGCCCCCAUUUCUCGAUGUCAUCGAAGCCAAAAUGUCGACCGACUCCAAAUAACUACCCCAUUCUCAAUCUCCACGAUCUCAAACCCUAACCCUAGCUCUCUCCCCCAAAUCCAAGCCCUAGCCCUAACCCUAAUCCAUGGCCUCCCUCCUCAACACCUCCUUCCUCCCCUCCACUCCCAAGCUCCCCGCCGCCGUCCCCGGCGCCAAGCGGGCCCCGACCAGAAUCCACGCCAAGAUCCGCGCAGGGAAAAAGCCUCAUUUUGUGGCGAUCCGAAGAGGAAUCAGGGAAAAGCAAAUCGAAGGAAAGUAAUCGGCGACGAUGAUUAGCGUCCUCGCUCAGGAGCGUAUUCAAAGGCGCAACAUUGGGAAGCGUGCUGGUUGGAGGAAUUGUUUUCAACCAGCGCAGGGGGAUUCACAGCACUAUCUCCGAACAAAAACCCGUUCACAUCUCUCGAUACCAGAUAUCGCCACAAAAUGAGGCCUUAUCGGACUCGUCGACGAUGACCAAGGGGAAGAUCGUUUCUUGGAUCAAAUCCGAGGGCGAUAAGCUCAG
Long non-coding RNA from Asparagus officinalis (garden asparagus), 638 nucleotides. RefSeq lists it as uncharacterized. The record is from RefSeq and is a predicted model, not a curated record. Lineage: Eukaryota; Viridiplantae; Streptophyta; Magnoliopsida; Asparagales; Asparagaceae. The transcript is spliced from 3 exons.